Molecule: long non-coding RNA, 3151 nt
Filed under: Callithrix jacchus (white-tufted-ear marmoset)
Lineage: Eukaryota; Metazoa; Chordata; Mammalia; Primates; Cebidae
Description: lncRNA (ENSCJAG00000085767.1)
Source: RNAcentral
AGAGACAGCUUAACAACUGCCCGACCAUCACCUGAUGGUCUCCUGAUUUUCCUGUGGUUGGGAGGGGCUCUCCUGCCCUUCUCAUGUCUGCGGCUACCCACUGUAACAACACUGCCACGCAGGCUCUGCAUCAGGACACCCACUGCGGCUUCUGGCACGAGACAAGAUCCAGGGUCGCCGAGGAGGCGAGGAGGGAAAGAAGGGGACACAGGUUGGUGGCUGUCGGGUUUGCUGUGUCGAUCAGCUUCAGCAGGACGGAGGGCGCGAGCGCGGGAGAAAGGGCGCAGCGAGGAUGGCAGGAACCUUGCAGGCCUCGGGCUUUGCCCCCCUACCGCGGGUUUGCGCUCACCCCUUUUCCCGGGGCUGCGCAAGCCUGGCCUCAUAGGUACUCCGCAGGGGGGAAGCUCGGAGGUGCGGGUGUCCACGUCGUUAGGGCUGCCACGGCUGCGGUCGCUGCUAAACUCAGAUAAGAUCAAAGCCCAGGUGGGGGCCGGCGGCCUAAUCCGCUACGGCUCCGGGUCCCCGGCGGCCCCAGCACUGCGCGGACAGCGGCUGGCGGCGGAGCCGGGGCGAUCUCGGGCCAGCGGUGGCUCAGCGCCCUGCGCCAGCUCCCGGAACCAGAACAGCCCGGCAGAGCAGCGGGGCCACCGACCCGGCCGGGAAGGUCACCUGCUCAAUGAAGGCGGCCCAGGCGGCGACUUCUGUCUUGUAAAUGCCCUGGGUGACCCCAGUGCAAAGGGGGGUCCUGGGGGGAGCAAUCGGAGGCACCCCGCUCCCAACUCCCGGGGCAUUUAUUUGAAAUGUUAAUGUUUUGAAGUUUCCCCUUCAAAAUGGCCCAGAUCAGUCUCCUAGAAGGCAGGCAGAAGCCUCUGUGGGAUUAAUAAACAAACCGCCUCUGACUUGGGUGCGAACCGGGUAAAACAUGCGUUGGUAUAAGCGAGAGAGGCCGGUGUACGCCGACGAACCGGGUAAAUGAUUACACAGCCCCGACCCCUCACCUUAGCAUAUCUUUGGUGCACCGAUUCCGGGAGUUGAAGUUUCCCCGGUCCAUAGACAUGUCCUUGACACCCUCCGCCCCCGCGCAGGCACCGCGGAAUCCAGGUCACAGGUGGGGGCGGGGCGGCUCAGCUCCCGCAGAGCCCAACCCCGGCCCACCCCCACACCCCCACCCCCCGGGCCGCAGUCUUCACGCAGGUCCUGCUGGGCCGCAGCCCGGCCUGCACUCCGCCGCCAAGUCGCCCCCACGCCUUGGGACGUCUGUGGGUAGCCCUGACCACGCGGGGUCGGGUGUCCCUGGCCGGGAGGCCGCCGCGCCCAGGGAGGACACAGAGGGUGUCACAGCGGGAGCUUUUUAAAAACCCUGGCAUGUGUUUCCCUGUCCACAUUGGAUAGUUUGUCGAGUUAUUGCCAAAAUUAACUAGUCAGAUCCCUUGCCCAGCUCAGCCGCUGGCGAUGGUAAUCAUACCCGCACACACUUUGGGAGCGCUGACACUGCCGGGAGCUGUUCCAAGCUCUUCUCAUGGAUUAACCUGUGAUAAGGUGACCAAAGUCAGUCAUCUGGCUUCUCUCGAGAACUGGCAGGUCACCUGCCCUCCACUCGCCUGGUGGGGUGAGAGUAAAUUGGUGCACGCUCCCCUGUUGGAUAUGGGGUCCAAGCUGCAGAGACAUGAUUGCCAAGGGCCCAGGGCUCCUGUGUGCUAGAGAGGGGCUGGGUAGGGCAUCAGGCGCCGUCCUGAUUCUGGAACGUUUUUAGGCCCCACUGCAGUUCUCCAACUUCAAUGUUCUCUAAUCCCUGAAAUCUUCCAAGCUGCCUGAGCUUCCAAAAGCUUUCCCCUCAAGCUGGGCGAAUCCAAUAGAGAAGUGAUCAUUUUUCAACCAGGGGAGCCAAUACUCAUACAUAAUGAAGGCGAGUUACACAAAGGACAGAAUUCUUUCCACUCUCCUAGGAGAGGUCCCUCUGCUCAGGGAAUCUGCAGGGCUGCCCAAAUGACCCAAACUAUGUAUGGGCCAGGCUAGGGGCAAAUCAGAGGAAUGGGGGCAAGCUGAGGAGCUUCUCUGCCUACUCAGUGCCUGGAGUUCUUCACACAAGGAGAUCCCCUCCCAGGUUAUUCCUGAGCACUUCUCAGAAAGCACAGUUCCUCCCUUUUAUUUUUAUUUAUUUAUUUAUUUUAAGACUGAGUCUCACUCUGUCGCCCAGGCUGUAGUGCAGUGACACAAUCUUGACUUACUGCAACCUCCACCUCCCGGGUUCAAGCGAUUCCUCUGCCUCAGCCUCCCAGGUAAUUGGGACUACAGGCACGCACCACCAUGCCUGGGGAAUUUUUGUAUUUUUAGUAGAGAUGGGGUUUCAUCAUAUUGGCCAGGUUGGUCUUGAACUCCUGACCUGGUGAUCCGCUUGCCUCUGCCUCCCAAAGUGCUGGGAUUACAAGCAUGAGCUCCUGCCCCUGGGCCAGUUCCUCCCUUUGCCCAGGGGCCAAUUGCAGAGCCCAUGGCCUAGCCGUGGGACAUUGCUGUGAAGGAAGAGCCGCUUAUGGUAGAGGAGCUCCCUCCAGGCCCCAGCAAUGCAUCUGGAUGCUGUCAAGAACCAAGUGGGCAGGGCAAGAAGAAACAUGGCCUGGUUAAGACAAGGCACUGUGACCUUGACUUCGACAACCUGGCCUUGUGGAUGUUCUGUCUGCCCUACCGUUUGCUGCUCAUAAAUACCUGAUCUCCCCCAGGCCAAAGGCUCUCCACCUACCAUUUCCUCACUCCUCCUUGAACUUGGCUUCUUCCUCCAAACAGCUUUGAGUUCUCAGCCUUGAUUCUCACUCCUCCAGGCUUGUGCCUCUGGCUUGAAAGGACAACAGAAGGAUGUGGUUUCUCUACCUGGCUUGAUAUUCUGGGAUCUGCAUCAGAGAAGUGGUAGGAUAAUGCAGCCCUGAUAAGGAGAUGAGGCAUCAAUGACAAUGUAAAUUACAAUGCAGGGAAAUCUGCACUGUGGCUGGCAAAGACUAGGGCUCAGGAAAUGGUAGCCUUCUCCCUAGGUAAGAAUAGAGCAACUCAGCACCUAGGGGGCUGCUUGCCUUUGUUCUUUUAUUUAAAAAAUUUUUUUAGAGACAGGACCUUGCUCUGUCACUCAUGUGGUGGUGCAGUGGCAUGAUCAUAGCUCACU